RNAcentral lists this transfer RNA (93 nucleotides) under Actinophytocola gossypii. Its description in RNAcentral is "tRNA-Sec". It matches the Rfam family "Selenocysteine transfer RNA". The record is from RNAcentral. Lineage: Bacteria; Bacillati; Actinomycetota; Actinomycetes; Pseudonocardiales; Pseudonocardiaceae.
GGAGGCGCUUCCGGCCUGGUGACCGGCGCGGUCUUCAACACCGUUGAACGGCGGACACCGUCGUUGGCGGGUUCGAUUCCCGUUCGCCUCCGC